RNAcentral lists this ribosomal RNA (253 nucleotides) under uncultured bacterium. Its description in RNAcentral is "partial 16S ribosomal RNA". It matches the Rfam family "Bacterial small subunit ribosomal RNA", at positions 524 to 776 of the family's 1533-position model. The record is from RNAcentral.
UACGAAGGGUGCGAGCGUUGUUCGGAUUUAUUGGGCGUAAAGCGCGCGCAGGCGGAUUAAUAAGUCAGGUGUGAAAUCUCGGGGCUCAACCCCGAAACUGCGCCUGAAACUGUUGAUCUAGAAUCUCGGAGAGGGUAGGGGAAUUUCUUAUGUAGGAGUAAAAUCCGUAGAGAUAAGAAGGAACACCAGAGGCGAAGGCGCCUGCCUGGACGAGUAUUGACGCUGAGGCGCGAAAGCGUGGGGAGCAAACAGG